Molecule: unclassified non-coding RNA, 209 nt
Filed under: Hevea brasiliensis (rubber tree)
Lineage: Eukaryota; Viridiplantae; Streptophyta; Magnoliopsida; Malpighiales; Euphorbiaceae
Source: RNAcentral
AGGAGGCGGUGGUGGUGGUGGCGGAGGAGGAGGGAAGCCAAUGGUUGGCACGGUCCACGCGUUGGACUCCGGCCUCUUCGCAACAGCACCUCCACCGGCGGCGUAAAUCUGCCGCCGUUGGGUCCAACUCGCUGCCUCCGCCUCUCUCGCAAUCAUGUGUUUUCUGUGUGACCGGUACUUCUGAAGAUGGCUGGCUAUGUUGUGCCGGG